UCCGAGGUGGUCUAACGGUAAGAUUCGCUCCGUGUGAGCGAGAUACGCGGUUCGAGUCCCGUCCUCGGAC
Molecule: transfer RNA, 70 nt
Filed under: Natrialba asiatica DSM 12278
Lineage: Archaea; Methanobacteriati; Methanobacteriota; Halobacteria; Halobacteriales; Natrialbaceae
Also listed under: 2 other names
Description: tRNA-OTHER
Rfam family: tRNA
About the family: Transfer RNA (tRNA) molecules are approximately 80 nucleotides in length. Their secondary structure includes four short double-helical elements and three loops (D, anti-codon, and T loops). Further hydrogen bonds mediate the characteristic L-shaped molecular structure. tRNAs have two regions of fundamental functional importance: the anti-codon, which is responsible for specific mRNA codon recognition, and the 3' end, to which the tRNAs corresponding amino acid is attached (by aminoacyl-tRNA synthetases). tRNAs cope with the degeneracy of the genetic code in two manners: having more than one tRNA (with a specific anti-codon) for a particular amino acid; and 'wobble' base-pairing, i.e. permitting non-standard base-pairing at the 3rd anti-codon position.
Source: RNAcentral